Molecule: unclassified non-coding RNA, 324 nt
Filed under: uncultured fungus
Lineage: Eukaryota; Fungi
Description: sequence contains ITS2
Rfam family: 5.8S ribosomal RNA (bases 1-52)
Source: RNAcentral
AACGCAUCUUGCGCUCUCUGGUAUUCCGGAGAGCAUGUCUGUUUGAGUGUCAUGAAUAUUUCAACCCAUUGAAUUUUUUUUUUUUUCCACAAAAGAUUCUAUUGGAGAUUGGAUUUUGAGUGUUUGCCUUUUAUAAUAUAGGCUCGCUUGUAAUACAUUAGCAUCUCAUUUUCGAAUUUCGGAUUGACUUGGCGUAAUAGACUAUUCGCUGAGGAUCUUUAUUAAUAGAGAGCCGAAAUAUGAAUAAUAGUAGAGGCUUCCAGUUGUUAAUUGUCAUUUUAAGAUUUAGACCUCAAAUCAGGCAGGAUUACCCGCUGAACUUAA